AAACAUUGAGUUAUAAUAUUUGAAGUAAUUUCCAUAAUUUUGACAAAUAAUAAAUAUUGUAUUUACUUGCUUUGCAAACAUUCCCGUAAACACUCCUAAUCACUCUCCUAGACUCCAGUCUCCUAAUCACUAUAAGCAAUUACAUUUUAAUACAUCCAUCUAAAAACAAAUAUAUUCUUAGUGCAUUCAUGGUAUAUAUUGUAUAAAAAAAAAGAGCAGACCACAAAUGUGCAGUAUAUGUUGUUGUUUUUUUUCACAUUGUUACAGUAAAAUAACAAGGAACAAAGAAAAUAUAAUGGUAGAAAAUAAUUCAGUGGACUGAGAGCUUGCCAUAGAUAUUCCUUUUAUAGCAUGUCAGCAGGAUGUUCGAUAACAGUAUAUCAUUGUUUGCAUAUUUCAAACUUCUUUUACCCCUAAGAGAAGAACAAGAAAGAACUUUGCCAUGAGUAGAUUGGGUCCUUAAUGAUAAGUCAACAAGAGCUGCACAAAUCUAACAGUAAUAUAGGUUACUGGGUGAAGCGUGGCGGCGAUGAGUUUUGAUUUUUGUUUUUUUUGUAGAGUUUCCAGUCUCUCUCAUCACCUCCUGAAUCUACAGAUGAUCCAAUCAUUCCCUUCAGUUCUCUCUUCUCUUUUGAUGGUGUGAGAGAAUCUGUCCAUCAGCUGAGAGACAAACUGGCGGAUUUCUGCAAAAAGGGCCUCAAAAAGAUCUCAGACAGAGUCUCAUUCACCACCUUUGUUCCCUGGACCAGGAACGACUUCCUACAAUAUUCACACCAGUUCACUCUGGAUCUGAACACAGUGAAUAAACGCCUCUGUCUGGCUGCAAUGAACAGAGUGAUUACAUAUACUGACAAAAUCCAGCCGUAUCCUGAUCAUCCAGACAGAUUUGAUGAAUAUAAUCCUCAAGUGUUAUGUAGAGAGAGUGUGUGUGGACGCUGUUACUGGGAGAUUGAGUGCAGUGGGAUUGUGUGUAUAUCAGUGUCAUAUAAGAGCAUCAGCAGGAAGGGACAGGGUAAAGAAUGUUGGUUUGGAUCUAAUAAUCAGUCCUGGAGUUUGAUCUGCUUUCCCUCCAGUUUCUCAUUCAGACACAAUAACAAACAGACUGUUCUCUCUGUGAAGCCCAUCAGCAGUAGAAUAGGAGUGUUUGUGGAUCACAGUGCAGGAACUCUGUCCUUCUACAGUGUCUCCAGAAACACAAUGAGACUCAUCCACACAGUCCAGACCACAUUCACUCAGCCGCUCCAUCCUGGGUUUGGGGUUUAUUCUGGGUUUGCUGUUUAUAGUGGAUCAACUGUUUAUUCUGGGAAUAGGGUUGAUUAUAAAUCAUCAGUGAAACUGUGUGAAUGAAUCAGAAGAGACUGACGAGAGAUUCUACCCAUAAUGCUUUGAGCUGCAUGAUAAAUCAGUAACAGUGAGAUGUUAUAGAGUCUCUUCAUGACAUUAAUACUGCAGCUGAACUUCUGUCACUGAAAUAACAGUCAGAAUAAAUGAUCAGUGUGUGUGUGUGUGUGUCUUGCUGAGUGACAAUGCAUAUCUUUGCUUUUCUCAAACUAUUUUAUUGUCGUUUCACAUCAAUCAUUUGUAGUUACACAAACAUGAUUUGUGAGGAACAUAUAAUUGUAUAUUUUAUCUUUAAUUUGAUUUGUGCAGAAACAAUAAAACAGUGACAAAUGAGCUUCAGAUCAUAUUUUAAUUGAUGAUGAAUAUUUAAAAUGUUUGAAUGCUGUAUGAAUCAUGAAUAUAAUAAUUGAUACUUCAAAAGACUGAAAUGAGCUUCAGCAGAGUGUCUGACAUUAUAAAAUAUGACAUUAAUCAUGGCAUUUAAUAAAAUAUAUUUAUUGUAACCACAGUA
This is a long non-coding RNA of Cyprinus carpio (common carp), 1852 nucleotides long. RefSeq lists it as uncharacterized. The record is from RefSeq and is a predicted model, not a curated record. Lineage: Eukaryota; Metazoa; Chordata; Actinopteri; Cypriniformes; Cyprinidae. The transcript has 3 exons.